GGGCUGUUGGAGGACGCCAUAAACAAAGCGUGCUGCACGUGCGUUACUUGCCUCUUCUUUUCAGAUAAAUGUAGUUAAACUGGACAAACAGUCACACCUGUCAAGUCCAUAAAAACUCAACGUUGGAAGAGAAAUGAAUGCAUCUCUGAGGCUGGUCUAGCACAGAGCAGGCCUGCUCAUGUCAUGCUGGGAUCAGAAUGAUGUUCUCAAAAACCCAACCCUUGCAUUCGCUUCGAGUAUUUUACUUUAUUAAGAGCCCUGAGACUGACAGGUGAGAGGGGGUGUGCUGUAAACUCAAUGCACGGGAAGCGUCAUCACUUGUCUACAGUGACAGGAAGCUAGAUAAUAAUACUGACAGUCUGCGAACAGCUUGUGAGGGAGACAGACUGACAGUGGAGAUGUCACAAGUCCAGGCGCACCAGAAGAGCUGAGGUGUGUGUUACAGCUAUGCCUGAUGCCCCCCGUGUAGUAGUUUGAGGUCUGGAAUGUUCUGGGGUUUAUAAACAGUUAGGCUACAUUUAUGUCAGUUACCACACACUCUUCCCUCCAAUAAUAAAAU
Cyprinus carpio carpio is the source of this 559-nucleotide long non-coding RNA. Lineage: Eukaryota; Metazoa; Chordata; Actinopteri; Cypriniformes; Cyprinidae. The record is from Ensembl.